Molecule: long non-coding RNA, 735 nt
Organism: Pseudopipra pipra
Lineage: Eukaryota; Metazoa; Chordata; Aves; Passeriformes; Pipridae
Exons: 2
Source: RefSeq, a predicted model, not a curated record
CGCGCCGCCGUUACCACGCCCCCGUGACCGCUUCCCGCCGCCCGGCCCCUCUCGGCCGCUGAGCGGAGGCUCCGCCCCCCUCCCGCCGCCCCGGGCACCGCGAUUGGCCACCGCCCCCUGUCACUCAGCCUGCCGCUGUGUUUACGGAAGUGCUGUCAGGCCGCGGCGGGGGUUGGCGCGCAGUGGUUGGAGAGGCGGAGGUGUCGUGUUCGAGUCCCGCCUCGGCAGGUCUCAGGCAGCAAUGGCGUGGGGUGGUUUAGUUGUUUUUGUCCGGCCUAGAUACAUUCCUGAGGAAAAUCUGUGUGGGCUUGUGAGGGCUAAUGGUUCUUCUCCAAAAUUUACUGUUUGAAUAAAGGACCCUUCAUCUGAAGGUAUUGUUUGUAUUCAGAUCCUUGGCAAAAAGUAGAGAGAGAGAUACCAGGACAGUUGCAGACAGAUUAUGAGUUUUGAGUCUUAACCUGCUGCUGAUGGAGCCAACAACAGAAGUUCAACUGACUUUAACCACAGAGACUCAGACCCUGAAAGACCAGCACAGGAAAAAGAGAUGCGUGAAGAGAUACAUAAGAGAAAAAGAGAAAGCAUGUUUCCUUGGGUCUUCUUUGAAAUAGAUACAUAAUAUAAUUUAAAAUGUAACUUUUAUUUUAGAUUUACACAUUUGGACUAUAUGAAAAAACUAGAUCACAUGCAGAGGAAUUGUUAAAAUAAUUAAAAUAGAAGAUGGAUUUUCACUUUAAA